UGUGCUUGUUUGGUACCAGAAGGGCAGGUUUGAGUAUUUCGGCUACUGCUGUUCUCCAGGGAUUUUCACACACAGUCUCUAGAAUUUAUACAGACUGAUGCGAAAAACAAACAAACAAAAAACAGCAACAGAUCUCUGGGUGGAAAUGCCUUGUUGAUAAGAGACAUCAGAGGAAAAUGGCUAGGUUGUUUCGAGCUAGGAUCUAGAAACUCAUAUAAUCACUUUUUACAGCAGUGGUGAGCCGAAAAGCAUCGCAACAUUAGCUGGAGCUCUUGACCUAUAUGUGGGUCCUUCUCAAAAUAGUGUGAUUUUCUGACACUACAAAUUACUCAAUUCACGUUUUACCCAUAAAAGUUCAUGGUAAGAUUUUAUUAACAUCUUGACAUUAUUUUUAAUCAUAUGGGGCAAAUUGAUUUUUGUUCUUUAUUUUAUUAUUUUAAUUUUUUAUAACAAAUAUGUCAUUUGUUACCCAUACCAGUUCGCAUACAGAGCAAAUAGAUCGACAGAAGACGCUAUUGUCACCGCUCUCCACAUAGCACUGACCCAUCUGGAACAUUAGGGGAGCUAUGCAAGGCUGCUCUUCCUCGACUUUAGCUCUGCAUUUAAUUCAAUCAUUACAAGCACACUGGUUAACAAAUUAUUGGACUUAGGACUGCCACACUCCAUCUGCUCCUGAAUUAGUGACUUCCUGUCAAAUCUCACACAGAGAGUCAGAGUAGGCCUCUCCACAGCUCUUAGACUCAGUACUGGCUCUGCUCAGGGCUGUGUGCUGAGCCCCCUCUUUAUACUCUCUAUUCCUAUGACUGUGCAGCCACACAUCCCAGUAAUGCUAUUAUUAAGUUUGCUGAUGAUACAACUGUGGUGGGUCUCAUCUCUGGAGGAGAUGAGACUGCAUACAGAGAUGAGGUCCAGAGGCUAGCGGCAUGGUGCUGAACACUUCAAAAACUAAAGAACUUAUCAUUGAUUACAGGAAGAAAAAAGCUGAUCCACACCCCCUAUACAUAAAUGGAGUCUGCGUGGAGAGGGUUUCGAACUUCAGGCUCCUGGGUGUGCAUGUGGAUGAUGACCUUUCCUGGAACACUAACACCACGGCACUGGUAAAGAGGGCACAGCAGCGUCUCCAUUUUCUGAGGUUACUGAAGAAGAACAACUUGGAUGACAGAUUCCUGGUGACGUUCUAACAGUGCUCUAUUGAAAGUGUACUGAGCUACUGCAUUAUUGCUUGGUUCUUCAGCUGCUGAGCAACUCAGAAGAAAGCACUCCAAAGGGUCAUCUCCACUGCGGAAAAACUAACUGGCCACUCUCUCCCCUCCCUUGAGGAUAUUUACAGAUCACGCUGUCUCAAAAGAGCUUGCAGCAUCCUCAAGGACAUCACACAUCCUGGUCAUCACUUUUUUGAACUGUUGCCCUCUGGAAGGCGAUUCAGGACAAUAAAAUCCAGAACCAACAGACAAAACAGUUUUUAUGCAAGAGCCAUCAUGGCAAUAAACAUGAACACUUGAACUUGAACGGCAAUAACUGUGCAUUAAUAUGGAUGUGUAUUUUGGAUGUGGAUGUGUAUUAUCUGAGUAUUUUAAGUGUGGGUGUAUUUUUAUCUUAGUUUUAUAGUGUUUUAGCUUGGUUGCAUUUUAUUUUUAUUUAUUUAUUUAUUUAUUUAUUUUUAACAGUAUUUUUAAGCUAUUUGCACUGGCUAAGGAUAGCCAUCCAAUUUCAUUGUACUGUACAUGUGCAUUACAAUGACAAUAAAGGUCUAUCUAUCUAUCUGUCUAUCUAUCUAUGUUUUUUGUCAUUGGCGUUACAUCACUUGAUCAUUAUUUGCUCAAAACAUAAUCUAAUAAAUCCAAUGGCGCAGACCACAUAAUCUAGGAAUUAUUGAGUCCAGGUCAGGUCCUCAGAGAUGUGUACUCCAUGGUACCUGAAGCUGCUCACUCUCUCCACGGGGGUUCUGCCAAUCUUGAGUGGGGUGUAGUUUUGCUGCUGCCUCUUCUUGAAGUCUACAACCAGCUCCUCGUUUUUGCUGACAUUCAGAGAGCGAUAGUUAGCCUGGCACCAAGCUACUAGUUUCCCCACCUCAUCAAGGUAGGUGGCCUCAUUGUUGUUGAUGAGGCCCAUAACCACUAUGUCAUUAGCAAACUUGAUGAUAGAGGUGGAGCUGUGAGAGGACAAAUCACAAGAGAAGAGAAAAUCACCCCAUAAACCCAUGACCUGAGCACAAACCACAUAGAGAUGACAAAGCCACAAUCUAAACAAUGAAAGACCUGUUGAUCAGUAUGACGGAAGUGAGUCGGGUGAAUCUUCUGAAUAUGGAGACAGAUAAUUGUAUUUACAUUACCAGAAUGCUAUUGAAGAAUUGUCCAGUCAUGUUUCUGAGGACCAGCCUGAUAACCACUACUUUACAGUAGUUAUAAGUCUACUUACUACCUGUAUUUUUAAAACCUAUACUUUAAUCUGAAUUUUAAAUAUCAUAAGUAAUGUUUUUUAUGAGUUGGUUACUUUUAUUUUGAUGUGGGUUAGAAAUGCCUGAUGUUGCAUUUCCUCAUUGUUUUGUUAUGACGGGACACAUUACAUGUGACAGUGCAGGGCAGUCCCAAGUCAAAAUGAAACUACAGUGACUGGACAAGCACCAGCGUCACUGUAGCUUAAAGGAGCAACAGAUUUUUUCUAAUGAACAAUAACAUGAAGUAUAUGUAAACUACUACUACUACUACUAAUAAUAAUAAUAAUAAUAAUAAUAAUAAUAAUGGUUUAAGCCAUGGCAUAAGCACGAGUGUAUUAUGUGGCUGGAAAAAAAAAAGAAAGAAAGAAAAAACAUUUAUAAAAAUGCAAAUACACUUCAAUCCAGAAGUAUAAUUGUUUGGCUGGACCUUGUGUCAGUCAUUUUAUAGACUCUCCCCAAUGUCCCUUCACUCCGUCCCCCUACAGCUUGCUGGCAGUGUCUUUCCAAUAUGGAGUAUUUUUUAUUACCAAUGAAGGAAUGAAGCUGGACAUAGGGAAUUAGCAAUGUUGCUCCUGGACAGGUCCUGUGGCAGAACUUUGUGGACAAGGGCGGGAGUUGGGACGGGUUUAAGGGGGAAAAAAAUCAAAUGUUGGACCCACCCAAAUCGCCAACAACAACAAAGUUUUCAGAUGUGCAGGACUCUGCUCGGAGUCGUUAUCACACAGCGAGUUCGGCACAGAGCUGGCAGGAAGUCACACUCUGACCCAGUGACACACAGCAUCAGUUUGAAGCUGGUGAUCGACUUCAGCCCGACUCGUGUAUGUCUUCCUGUGUUCCACGGCACUGAAUGGAAUCGUCUGCGCGAGACACACACCUGCACUUUGUUACUUCAUAUCUGAACUUAUUAUAAAGUUGCUAAAGCAUGCAGCACUACGACACAGAAUUAAUCACUGUUCUAAAGUAUUGUGCCCAGAAGCCUUAUUAUAAAAAUGAAAUGACCUUCAAGGCAACACAUAACGAUAUUUAUAAUAUCGUUAAUACCUUCAGUUCUAAAUGAAAAAUGUUUUCUUCGGUAUGGGAUGACUGUAUGCCUGACCUAAUGGGUAAAUUGUUAAACACGUGACCUAUAAAUGAGAUGAAAAAUAGCAUCUCUGUUUCUUUCACCAACCAUAAUCAGCUCAAUAUGUUUCUUUGGUCAUACAUACAAAACAUAUAGAUAAAACAGUGUUAUUGGAUAUUUCAGGUUGUAAUUGGCAGAGAUGUUCUGGCAAAGUAAUCUGAGUAUAUGCAAGGAUCAAACCAUAGACUGACAGUUACAGCUAGAGCACAAUAGAUAGAGUACCUUUUAUUCUAUUAUGUUUAAGGGGGUUUGACUACAAAUUAUUAUUUUUUUCUUUUUACUUUCUGAUAAAUAGCAAGACACCAUGAGUCAAUCACUUGCACACUUUCAGCACAAUACAAUUGAAAAAGAUUUUACCUCUGUGUGGUAGUAUUGAAUGAGCCAAAUACACGGAGGCAUCAUGAUAAAAUAACAGAAAAUCAUUACAGUUGCAAAAGAAAAGGAACCUUGUCAAACAUAUGUUCAUAAUAAAUUGCAAAAAGCAAUAUGUUUCUAUGCUAUACACCAAAACUGAGGGUGAGUGAUUUGAGAGUCUCCUUAUAUCUCAAUGAGAUGUUUGAGCAAGUGCUCUGAAUUAAACUAAAUAUGUGAAA
This is a long non-coding RNA of Pangasianodon hypophthalmus (striped catfish), 4150 nucleotides long. RefSeq lists it as uncharacterized. Lineage: Eukaryota; Metazoa; Chordata; Actinopteri; Siluriformes; Pangasiidae. The record is from RefSeq and is a predicted model, not a curated record. The transcript has 2 exons.